This 1379-nucleotide unclassified non-coding RNA is filed under the name uncultured Neocallimastigales. RNAcentral describes it as "partial contains small subunit ribosomal RNA, internal transcribed spacer 1, 5.8S ribosomal RNA, internal transcribed spacer 2, and large subunit ribosomal RNA". The stretch from base 631 to 1379 matches the Rfam family "Eukaryotic large subunit ribosomal RNA", at positions 1 to 628 of the family's 3401-position model. Lineage: Eukaryota; Fungi; Neocallimastigomycota; Neocallimastigomycetes; Neocallimastigales. The record is from RNAcentral.
UUUCCGUAGGUGAACCUGCGGAAGGAUCAUUAAUAAAUUUUUUUAGGUUGAAAUUUGAAACCUAAAAAUAUAAUAAUCCUACCCUUUGUGAAUUUGUUGUUUGAAAUAAUUUUUUAAAAAAUUAUUUAUAGUUUUGUCUAUCCCUGAGUUGUAAGAGAAGUAAUUCUUUGAAAGCUUAGGGAAUAGGCUUUAUCUAUAAAUAUGAUUUUAAAGACCUUUUUUAAAUUAAACUUUUGUAUUCAUUUGUCUAAAUUUAUUUUUAAUAAUUAAAAACAACUUUUGACAAUGGAUCUCUUGGUUCUCGCAACGAUGAAGAACGCAGCAAAAUGCGAUAAGUAAUGUGAAUUGCAGAAUACGUGAAUCAUCAAAUCUUCGAACGCAUAUUGCACUUUUUUAGUUUACUAAAAAGUAUGUCUGUUUGAGUAUCAGUAAAAUAUUCUCAUAAAAAAUUUAUUUUUUUAUGGUUUGAGUGUUUUACAACGAUACAAGUUGUUUCACUUAAUGACUUUAAAUUGCCUAUUAAUUUAGUCAAUUUUUAAAAUUGCAUAAAUUUCCCGUAAAAGGAUAACCUAUCAAUUUUAAAAUUAACUGAUAUAAAAGGCUUGAUAAAAGGAAUUUAAUUAAAUAACUUGAUCUCAAGUCAGAUAAGAGUACCCGCUGAACUUAAGCAUAUCAAUAAGCGAGGAAAAAACUAACAAGGAUUCCCCUAGUAAGGCGAGUGAAGCGGGAAGAGCUCAAUUUGAAAUCUUCAAGUUUGACCUUGACGAAUUGUAGUUUAAAGAAGUGUUUUCGGUUAAGGAGUGGUAAAAGUUCUUUGGAAUAGGACAUCAUAGAGGGUGAGAAUCCCGUAUUUGACCAUUCUUUCUAGCUUUGUGAUACACUUCAAAGAGUCGGAUUGUUUGGAAUGCAUCCAAAAUGGGUGGUAAAUUUCAUCUAAGCUAAUAUUGGCGAGAGACCGAUAGCGAACAGUACCGUGAGGGAAAGAUGAAAAGAACUUUGAAAGAGAGUUAAACAGUACGUGAAAUUGUCAAAAGGGAAGCGUUUGACACCAGUGUUGUUUUUCCGAAAAUCAAUUAAAAAUAAUUCAUGCCAGUUGUAUUGACCUUAUCAGUUGCAAUUUGUUUUGGGUUCUUUUUGAUGCACUUUCGGUUAACAGUCAACAUCAAUUUCCUUUGCUGUAAAAGGGCAGAGGAAGGUGGCUUCAAUUUCGGUUGAAGUGUUUAUAGCUUUUGUCUCUGCAGUCGGAGAUUGAGGUCUGCAGCGUAGAUCCUUCGGGUUAGAUACAUUCGUGCUAGUUAUAUCUUUUAUAGACAACUUGUUGACUAUGAUCGGUCUUGUAAUUUACUCGCGAGUGUAUUUUACCUACGCUUAGGAUGUUG